GGAAUAUUGGUCAAUGGGCGAGAGCCUGAACCAGCCAUGCCGCGUGCAGGAAGAAGGCCCUCUGGGUUGUAAACUGCUUUUGACAGGGAACAAAGAGUCCAUGCGUGGAUAAAUGAGUGUACCUGUAGAAUAAGCACCGGCUAACUCCGUGCCAGCAGCCGCGGUAAUACGGAGGGUGCAAGCGUUGUCCGGAUUUAUUGGGUUUAAAGGGUGCGUAGGCGGCCAUUUAAGUCAGCGGUGAAAGACUUCA
Molecule: ribosomal RNA, 250 nt
Filed under: uncultured bacterium
Lineage: Bacteria
Description: partial 16S ribosomal RNA
Rfam family: Bacterial small subunit ribosomal RNA
Source: RNAcentral